GUAUUUUGAAUUGUUUAUUCACAAUAUUUUUCAGACAAAGAGUUAAAAGAUAAAGGUUGAUGUUUGGUCGAUCUCCAAGAAGAAGAUCGACUGACAUUGCACACAAGGUGGAUAUGGAUUUAAAAAGUGCCAUAAAACACUUAUUAUGAAUGAUCCUUCCGCAGGUUCACCUACGGAAA
RNAcentral lists this unclassified non-coding RNA (179 nucleotides) under uncultured fungus. RNAcentral's name for it is "sequence contains ITS1, 5.8S rRNA gene". The record is from RNAcentral. Lineage: Eukaryota; Fungi.